This is a long non-coding RNA of Ostrea edulis (European flat oyster), 969 nucleotides long. RefSeq lists it as uncharacterized. Lineage: Eukaryota; Metazoa; Mollusca; Bivalvia; Ostreida; Ostreidae. The record is from RefSeq and is a predicted model, not a curated record. The transcript has 5 exons.
GCAGAAUUCAGCUAGACACACACAAAAAAGACGAUCACUACAGCCUUCCAAGAAGAUGGACUGCCUCACAAUAGUUUCCUUGAGGACUGUCUUGAAAUAUCCAGAGUUUAAGAUUCAAGAAACGGACUCUAUCUGGAAAAGGAAAACAAUAUCAAAGCUCCUCUGUGAGAAGUUGGCCAAGGAAAGCAUUCAGAAGAAAGUGGAGAUUCAUUGUUUUUACCAGAUCCAGCAGAUCACAGAAAGCAUCUAGUAGGGGAGGUCUACAGAUCGAAGCAUGCCAAACGUGUAAAGAACAAGUUUCCAGGAUUAAGCCAGCCAGUAGAUGAGACUAUUAUAUCAAAAAUACAUUUACUUGUACACGAGGGCACACAAAGCGUUGAUGAAACAAAAAGACAUUUCCGUCUGUUUGUAAAGGAUACUAUUUCACCAGGGAACACCAUCUCAGAAUUUAACAGAUGCUUUUACCCCGCCAAUAAGGAUGUAAGAAAUCACAUUUACAGGGCACCGAGAUUUUGCCAGGUAGUUUAGAACUGUGUGCAUUGGUUUUGGAAGAAUUUGGGCUGUUUAGGCUAAAAUCCAUUAUGUAAGUUCAUCUUUGUGGUGCACAAAUUCCAUAUGGUCAUUUCAAAUAGUCAACAUUGCUUCUAUUUUCAAUCUGAAAUUCUACAUGUAUUUUGUUUGAGAGAUGAAAACAAUCCUCGAAACAUUAUCACCGUUAUCUUUAAUUUUCCAUCAUACUUGUGUCAAAGAGUUGAACUUUCUUUACCAGUAAUUUUAUAUUGACUUCGCAUUGUGUGAUAUAUAAAGUUUUUAUGAUUUUAUUUUCUGUCUAAGAUAUUCAAUAUUUAAAGGAAAAAGAUAAUGGUAGGAGAUGGUAGGAUAAAUUCUAAUUAUUCAGAGAAACUUGAUAAAUACUGUGUUUGAGCUUAUAUACUCGAUAACACAAUAGAAGAAUGCAAUUUACUAGUU